This 5529-nucleotide long non-coding RNA is filed under the name Marmota monax (woodchuck). Lineage: Eukaryota; Metazoa; Chordata; Mammalia; Rodentia; Sciuridae. The record is from RNAcentral.
GUCAGUUCCUAUAGAGGACAGAUUAAAACUAAAGUGUUUUAUAAAAUUAUUAUUCCUAUAUUGUAUAACAAAAAGCAUAAUUUUGUCUAGAAAUUUGGCUUUUGUCUCUCAGUAUUUACAAGCAUGAAUAACUCCCAACUAUUAAAAAAAUGGUCUAAAGAUUUUUCAAUGUCAGACUAAAAGUUGGUGGCCGCUAUCCAAGAAACCAGAAAAACCAGUUUAGAAUGGGACCCCAACCUGGAGGACUCUCCCAAGGAGACCAAUGAAGCUGCAUCUUUGGGAACUUCCUCCAGGGAAAAAUAAACCCCCUUCGUUUGUCUAUGUUCCCUCAACUCUUUUCAGCUUUCAUGAACAGGACCACCUCAGGAAAAAGGUCAGAAAACUUUUAAAACUCUAUAUUUGUUAAACUCAUAAUUUUGAUCCAAUAUGCCUAGGUUAAUAUGUUUUUCCUAUUACACUCUGCUUUAUUCUAAGGCCAAUUUACAAGGGUUAACUCUCAAUAUAAUAGGUUUUAAAAAAUAAGCUACAAGGCUUUUGUUUGUCUGUUUGCUUUGUGUGGGUGCACCGGUGUACUGUCUGUCUACGUGUAUUGCCAUGUCUAAAUAUAUUUGGUACAAAUGAGCUCAUAAAUUAAAAUUUAAAAAAAUGGAUCCAAAUACUUUUGGUUAAUAUGAUUUAAAAGGUUCAAUUCAAAUUGGGAAAAUAAAUAAAAGUACAAAUGUCUUUAAAGUUACUAAUACACAGUUUUGUUUCUACAUGGGUAAACAGCUGUUAAAAUGUUAAUGUCUAUAAAGUGUCUGAUAUACAUUGUCUCUAGGAUUUUUAUUCAACAGAAAAAAAAAGAUUACUAAUACUAUUCAAUGCACUUGUCUGAUACCUUGUUUUUAAAAAAAGAUUCAUAAAUUUUAUCUAAACGUAUAUAAAAUUAAUCAUGGAUAUGUUUGUUAAAGACAUCUAAUUGGUACAAAGUUAAAAUGCUGUUAAAUAUAAUAUCAAGUACUCUUAACUCCUUAAAUUCCAUAAGGUAAAAUAUUUAAACAAUGUUGGUAUUUUCACAAAUUGGUAAACUAAAAAAGAAAAUUUUAAAUUAUUUUGUGUUAUUAUAAAAACAAGGAUACUAUAAAUUACAAAGUCCCAACAGGUAUAAUUCUACAUAAAAAGAGUCAAAAGUUUUCAACUGUAUCUCAAUGAAAGUACUGUAAGUAACAAAUAUUUCAUCUUAUUAAAAUGGAUUGAUUUAUCUAAAUUCAAAAAUUUAUAAAGAUUAUUAUUUCAAGGUACAAACCAAAAAAAGGAUCAAUAGGUUAAAAAAAUAUUAAAAAGUUCUACAUAUAAAAAAAUCUUUAAUUAAUAAAAAAAUGUUUCCAAGUUAAAAAGUCUUUAUGUGAUAAAGUAUAAUUAUAAUACAUCUAAGUAAACAACAAAAGGGUCUAAUUAAGUAAUAUAAAGGUCUAUAAAUAAAAGACAAAUAUUAAAAUGUUUAUAUGUAACUAAGUUGUAUAUAUAUAUAUAUAUAUAUAACACAAAUAGUUAAAACUAUUCAAGGUUGUUCCCUAAGGACAAAUAAUAAUGUACUGAUAUAUUUAUAUGUUAAAUUGACAAAAAUAUUUAUUACAUUAUGUCUGCUAAGUUUUAUCCUCUAGAACAAGUAAUCUUGGAAAAAUUAAGGUUUUUACAUCUGUGGCUAAACAACAACUGUUAUUUUAAAGUAUUGUCUUACAUUACAAAGUCUAGAUUUUCCUUUAAAAGCUAACCUUGGUUAAUAUAAAAAAUCAAUGAAAGUGUGGUACAUUACUCUUCUUUAUGGAUUAAAUGUGUUCAUAUCUUUCAGGUAAACAAGUCUUUAAGGUAAAAGGUUUAAAGGAACAUUUUAUCAAGCUGGUAUUCUCCAAACUAAAAUUGUCUGUAAUGAUAAUUUAAACUUACAAAGAUAAUAGAUUUUAUUGGAAAUUUAUUUAUAUUAUUUAAUGUUUUGUAACCAAAUCUUACGUUACCUUUUACACUAAAUUUAAAAAGUAAUGAGAGCCUAAUCUACUUAAAGGUUAAAUAUUAUAAAACAUUUUGCCACUUUUCCACAUAAAAAAUGUUAAGGGCUCUCAGCCUUUCCUUAAUUAAUGUUUCAGAUGUAUGUCAUAUUGUGCUACUAACAUUCAUACAGAGUCAAAAACAAUAUAUGUAAACUUUAUAAAAUGAUAUCUAAAAAGAGAGACAAAGAUCAGCUUUAAAACUAAAACACUUUAGCUAAGAUUGUUAAGAUAAGGCUGAGAUAAGGCUCUGCUUCCCACCUUACAACAUGUCAGAAUAACUUCAAAGUAGGCCAGAUUUCAGUUAAUUUAAAGUUAUAUUCAAAGAUUAAUUUAUUAAAAAGAUUACUAUGAUAUCAUAUAAAAAAUAUAAUGUAUAACUCAGCCAAGGUUCAAAAUUAUAUACAAGCCAAAUAUGUUUUUAUUAUUGUUGAUUUCACUUUAUAUUUUCAUUAUAUCUAAAAAAAAAAUGUGACCACUGCACUCAGAGCAACCAAGAGACCUUUACUGUGACAGUGUCUGAUUAACACAAAGAGAAAGAGAGAGAGAGAGAGAGAGAAAUGCAAGAGAGAGAGAGAGAGAAAGAGAAGUAAAAAGAAAUGCAAGAGAGAGAGAGAGAGAGAAAGAGAGAAGGAAAAAGAGAGAGGAAAAAAGUGAAUGAGAGACAGGGAAAGUGAGAGAAAAAGGAGAGAGCAAGAGGGGAGGACCUGGCAAGAGAGAGUUUUUAUAGCCAAAAUCUAAUGGGAUCUCUAGGUCUGCAAGCUGCCUCGUUGGUGUAUAGUGAUUGGAUCAUACAGUAGAUGCUAAGGUGUCAUCUUCUGCCUUCAGGCAGAUCUUCAGCAUUACGUAAAUUAAUAAAUAAAAUAAGGAUAUUGUGUUAUGUAAAAAUAAACUGUAAAGUUAUAAAGAUUAAAGUUAAAGCCCAGCAUUCUUACUUUAAAACUGGUAAAACUGACUUGCUGGAUGUUUAAGGCCAAAUUUAAAUAUUAAGGUCAAAAUAAAGGGGCCAAAAAACCCAAUAUUUGGCUCUUGCCCUCUAAGUCAGCCUGAACCCAGGACAGGGGAAAAUGCUUUGCAACUCCGGGCCACAUAACCUCCUGAUAAGGGAGAUUAAUGAGACCAAUGGAAAACAAAAUGCCAAUGAGUGUACAUGCUGCAAAACAGGAGGGUCAUUUAAAAAGGAGACAUGUCUGAUGCUUCCAAGGAAAGCCAUAUGGUCAGCAAGACCUUGACCCAUCCUAAUGCAGAUGACACUAACAGAGCUAAAAUGCUACUCACACGUUCCCCAAGAAUGUCCUCCGAGGAAACUCAGCUGACUCUUAACAAUAGAUAGAAACAAGGUCAGUUUGACCAGCUUGGUCUUAAACACCUAGCAAAAACAGUUAAAACCAAAGCACAGCCAUUCCUGGACAUUUAAAAAAACAACAACAGUUAAUGUAACUUAAAAUGUACACUAAUGUUAGCAUCCCCAAAAAUAAGUAAGACUGGAGACAACAGAAGAAAAAUUCUUAGGCAAAAAUGCCUGAUAACUACCAAUAAAUGCCAAAAGUUUCUAUUCCAUUUAAGGCCUACAGAUCUUCCUAACUUCCUACACAGGUAGAUGUAAUCAAUGUUUAUUAAUAUAAUUAUCUAGCCCUAAGUAACAAAAGGAUCUUUACUGAACACAGUGGUCAUGCCAAAAAGGUAUUUUUACAAAAAUCAGAUGACAUUAACUAAUUUAACUAAAUAUUGUGUCUACAUUCCUAAUAAUUCUAACAAUGUUAAAGAUUUAUGUUCCCUAAAAAAAGUGCCUUAUUAGGCUUUGUUAGGCCUUGUUAUGGGGACAUUUUCUCAGGUCUUCCGCCUCCUGGUAAACAAUUAUUAAUUUCUGUCAUUUUCAUGAUAUUCAUGAACAGGUUUCAGAUGCUACAACUGCUAUUUUGUAUUAAUCUUACUUCAGCACUCAUGUCUUUUUGUUUCUCUCAUAGAAGUGCUCACCCCAGGUGAAUUUACAUCCUGUUCUUCCUGAGCCAGAUUUUUACCAUGGACUCCUUGACCCACUCGGUUUCUAAAAAGGGACUCCAAAACUGCUUGCCCACUGCACAUCACCCCCCUUUCAGCUGGAAGUAGCAAGAAUGGUCAUCGCCCUUUUCCCUUAUGGCAGUUGGAGGUCCCUAAUAUUAAAAAAAAAUUACGGUCAACAUAGAUGUUCGCCAAUGUCUAGCUCAGGAAGAUGUACCUGGGAAACUACUCCCAAGAUCACCCAUAAAGAGACACUUGCUUCUGCAACCCAACUUAUAAGUGGGACAACUCCCCAUUCACCAAAAAUUGUGCUUCUCGGUUCCCACUUUGAACUCCUUGACUAAAUCUCCAAACUGUCAAUAACUCUGAACUAUGUAACUUACUAUUUUGAUGGAGUAAAAGAAAAAGAACACCUGGACUUAUUAAAAGGCCAGACCCCACUGAUUUAUCAACAUAGACUGGCUACCCCCAUUUUAGUUCCCCUCCUGGCUGGUAUCUACUGCUUUGGGAACUACAGCUCUUAUCACAAGCUCUAAAAAUUUUAAGUCCCUCAGCCAUCAAAUAAAUAUAGAUUUAGAAAAACUAGAAAGGUCAAUCUCCAAACUAGAGGUUUCACUAGACUCUCUGACAGAAAUAGUCUUACAAAACAGAUGAGGUCUAGAUGGUCUCUUUCUGAAACAAGGAAGACUUUGUAUGGCUCCAGUAGAAACUUGUUUCUCUAUGCAAACCAGUCUGGGAUAAUAAAGUACAGUUUGGUGCUUGUGAAAAACAGGUUAAAUGAAAGAGAUAAAACACUAGAAACUUCAGGAAAUUGGUUCCAAAAUCUAUUCUCAUGGUCCCCUUAGUUGACUACCAUCAUUUCAGCCAUAGUUGGGCCCCUAGUCCUUCACCUGAUUGGUAUUACUGUAGGACCCUGCCUCUUAAAAACCCUCCUAAACCAUACACACAAAAGAAUGUAGAUGGGGUCAGACUUAUGGUCUUGAGAGCCCAGUAUAGUCCCUUAGACACAGAAGGAUGAAACAAAAACUGAGGCCUAAUGAUGUGCAAGAUUGACAUCAAACCUACUAAAACCAGUGGGGAAUGUGAUAGUAGGAGCAAAUGUGACUCCAUUUUGUUUUAUGACUUCAUCCUGUAAAACAACCAUGCCAAGUAGAAGAGUCAUGACUAGAGCAAGGUGUUCUUUUCCUUUUGCUAUAGAAACCUUUAAGAACAUGGAACUACCUAAUGGGGUAUUGUUUCUGUAACUAGGGUAACGGGGCUCUGUUUCUGUAACUGGGGUGACUGGGCUAACUGUGAUUGGUUAGUCUUCCCUCCGCUUGACUGCACUGUCCCACUUCUGUAACCUGGCUUGCUUGCAUUGGCUAGACCCCCCCGAACAUCCCUUUUGCGGUUUUCAGGCUUAUAAGGAGUGCCCUUGCAAUUGUUCAGGGCUGAUAAGGGGAACAGCUUUAUGUUCUGGUCAGCCACCACCGGUGUGCUUCAAUAAAGGCUUGAUUCGAUUAUA